Cinara cedri is the source of this 228-nucleotide non-coding RNA. The record is from the annotation of a GenBank genome assembly. NCBI's taxonomy places the organism in Eukaryota, Metazoa, Arthropoda, Insecta, Hemiptera, Aphididae.
ACAGUACUUUCUCAUGCUAAAUUUCUAAUUUUUGUCGGCGAUAUAAAACUCUUCCUAAAAAUAAACUCAGUGCAUGACUGCAUUCAGGGUGGCAAUGGCGUGUAAUUUGAGGUUAAGGUGUUGCCCAAGUAUGCAUCUUGAGAAAUCGGUGAUGAUUAAAACCUGUUUGAGAACAACUACGUCUAAAACAAGGCUAUAAUAUUUAUCACAAGGUUAUCACAUGUAAAC